This is a long non-coding RNA of Bombus terrestris (buff-tailed bumblebee), 5322 nucleotides long. RefSeq lists it as uncharacterized. NCBI's taxonomy places the organism in Eukaryota, Metazoa, Arthropoda, Insecta, Hymenoptera, Apidae. The record is from RefSeq and is a predicted model, not a curated record. The transcript is spliced from 2 exons.
UUAACAGUAGUGGGCGUAUCAUAUUUUUCCCCCAUGUCUUUAAACACAUGUCACAAAGUCAGUAAACAGAGAGAGAAAAAUCAUGAAGAUUUGGUGCACGGUAAUCUGAUUAGAUAGAAGUGGUGGCUGAAAGGAAGGAUCGAUAAGCUGGCGAGAUAAUCGGCGAAAGAAUCACAGCGACUUAACCUAUAACGUUUAGUGGCUCAGUAAAAGAUGCGAACUCCUCGUUGGGAGCUCGAGAAGCCUUCUACUAAAUCUUAGUUCAAUAAACACUCUAUAGAGCGUGUUACUGGAAUUACCCGGCGUUAGUCGGCUCGCAGAUUAGUCGAGAGCUUAACGAUCCCCCUGAGGUCCGAUGGAAAUCGACCGUACGACUUGUUAUUCAGGGAAUAAGAUGAUCGCGCGUCAUUAAUUAAUUUCCAGAAGCCAAAGCAUUUAACUCUUACUAUUUUUUGCGUUAAUCUUCUCUCUGUUAUCGUCUGAAAACUUCGAUUAAUAUAGGGCUAAUACAGAAGCAACGACUACAUCGUAAAACAAAAAAAGUAAUGUUCAUAGCGUUUUUAUUGUGAAUUUUUACCAAAGGAUGAAACGUUCGAAUAAAUACCGUGUAUAAUGUGGUCUCGCCAUCGUACAUAUAUCGUGAUUGAAAACUUAUUCGUUAUAGAUGACGCAAAGUCUAAUUUUAGUUCAAUCUUUCUUAACCGUUUCUAUGAAUUUUUCGAACGACCUAAUGCAACAUGUUGAUCGAAUAAAGUCAAAUGCCAAAUCGAUAGAGGUUAACGAAAGACACAGGGCCAAAUAAAGGGUAAAUUCGGGGCGUGUCAAUCGGAUAAAAAUGACGGGUGCCGGUGUAAGUGGUUAGUUUCUGUGCAGAAUGCGCAUAGAGAAUUUUGAAACAUCAUAAAAAUCGAUCGGGCCACCUCCUCCUCGGUUAAACCGGCUGUUCACAGAUUGCCGGUCCGCACUGACACGCCGAGAACGCAGCAACUGCGUUGCCCGUGUGCUCGCACUCUGGCGGCAGUGAAGAAAAAAACAGACGAAUAAAGGCCGAACAAAGAGGGAGGAAGAGAAUCUAUAAGCGAAGAGUGGAUGUGAGUCCGAGCGGGAGCGAGAAAGGUGACGAGAGAGAUGGCAGAGUCAGUGUGGCGGAGGGACAAACUGAAUCGAUGAAUAAGCUAGAACGAACGAGACAGAGAAACAGAGGGAGAGGAAUGUCUGACGAUGGAGCGAGCGAGAGAACGGAGUAAAUAUAAUAUAACCGGGGGAAGGAAAGAGAAGGAAACAAAGUGAACGAGAGGAGUGUGUAAGCUCAUCACUCAGUGGAAGAAAAAGGAGUGAGUUGCCGAUCGAGCGAGCGAAAUGAAAAGGGUGGAAAAGGGAUGCAUUACCUGAAGAGAAAGCGAGACAGCGAAUCAAGUGAAAGAAAAAGAGUGGACGCGUGCGAUGAAAAAGAGCAGAGGAGAGUAACAGAAAAUGAGACUUAAUGAGAGGAACAAAAGUGUGCGCGUUAAAGAGGAACGAAAUCAUAUGAGUUAACGAGUGAGACAAAAGGACACUUCUAGAAAAAGUAACGCGAGCAAGAGAGAAAAAGAGGGGAAAAAGGAACCACGUGACAAUCGUACAAGGAAGAACGGUAAACGAACCAGAACAAAAAACUUUCUUUCUCUGUUUUUCCCUUUAGAAGAGAGGGCCAGAGAAAAGAGGAGUGAGAAAAGCGAUGGUGAAGUUCGAGGAACGAAGUAGAGUAACAUUCAACCACACGUACUCGUCUUUCCCUUCUUCGUUCCUCGCACGUUCUCCCCUCUUCGUUCUCGCGACGAACCUCUACCUCUACGAAGCGAGAGAACCUACUGUAUUCGCGCUCUACGUCCGCCCGUGUAUUCGAGCUUCGCGUAUUCGUUGCAAACGGCACACCGUUAACGGUACAUCGCGUUCGUUACAAUUAUUACAAACAUUCGACUCGACUACGGUUCGCCUCCAGCGUAAUGGCUAACCCUGAUGGCACGAUACCGUGACGAGUUUCGAAUUCCUAUCUUACGUGUCAUCUAUGUACUUUGAUUCUUUGUUAGAUUUCGAUUUUCAUACUUUAAAAUAGUAGAGGUUAACUAUAACAUUGACGGUAUGAUCGUUAACGAUCUUCGCUGGUGGAUAACGUAGCUUCAGCCGCAUCUUCCUUUUCAUUUUUAAAGGAAGAAAGAUCUAAUUGUUUAUUCAUUGGGCUAACAAUACCGAGGAAAAAACGAUUGCCGCGGUUCCUCGACAUUCCUCUGAUUUUUUGCAAAUUAUUUGCCUCGAAGUGUCAUCGAUAUUCCGUAUUUCCGACGCAUCUUUCGAGCGGGAACGAUAUUCACCGGAGAAGGUGGCUUGCAGGAGAGCUGGUCGAUCGGCAGGAAUUAAAAUAUCGAGCGUCUCGAAUAGAGGAGCGCGUUCGGGCUUCGAGCGAGACGAGAGCAGAGAGACAGAGACGGAUAAACCAACAACAAGGAUAGAAGAGUCGAGUAGUCCUGGCUUACUCUGUCCUCCUCACUCUUUAGACUACGUCGAAUCCUCUUUUCGUCCCUCGCUUUUCUUCUCUACUCACCGGCCACCGAAAGAAAGACAGAACUUCUUUUUGUCCUGGGACUGAAUAAUCCUUGUCCAAACGAUUUUAGUCGAUGUCUUCGCGUAAUAUUAUUGAAUGCCAAUCGACAGAUGAUCCUUUCCUAUAACCUUCGUCCCUUCUGAUUUGACAGAUGUUACUCCAGAUUAGAAGUUACUAUUAUAAAAUUUGGGCUCAUUUCAUACGUGCAAAAUUACUGGAAUUAGUUACCUAAAGAUAUUAGAAAUUACUCUAACACUGAAAUAUACAUUAAAAGUUUGAUUUAAAUAUUACCUUGUACCACGGAUUACGAGUAAAAGAAUAAUGUGAAAGCAACCUGCAAUCCUUCGUUGGGAAGUCCGGAUCUCUUCGGAACAAUUUUGCACGUCCGUUACCAGUUGGAGGUCGUACUAGAGAUAUUCUCGUCCUCCAUGUUGAACCAAGACUCUUUAUUCAUGAAUUUUAUCAGCCGACCUAAUUCAUCUGAUAUAUUAAAUUUUCAAAAUCAUAAGAAAUACAUAAAGGAGCGAAAUCACGGAAGAAAAUAUGGGAUAAAGGCGAGAAGAAACGAAACGAAAAGAACGCAGGGGCAAAUACAGUUUCAUAUAAUACGUACAAUAUAAACAUUUUCAGAUUAGUUUCAAAUUUUAUCAGUAUAUUCAUAGCAGUCGUGUUUCUUUAUACAUAGUGUUAAUGAAAUUUUAAAACGUUCAUAUACACAUAAAAGUUUUCUAUUGUAAAUGGUCAAAAUACUUUGGCGAGCUGCUAUAUAUGUGUGUGUGGAAAAACACGAGUCAGGAUUCGUUCGUAGUGAAACGUUGCCGCGCUGGUGGGAGCGUUGUACUCUGGCUGUCUUGUAAUUGAACAGACACGAGCCACCGAACUUCCUGAGUCCGUUUCAGCCUGAGGGAGAGAAGGAUCCCUAUUUCUGGUCUCGGUUUCAGGCCCGAUUCUACAAGCUCGCCACACCGGCCCAGGAUUAGACGCUUGUUUGUCCCCGCUGUAGCAUCCUCGGGUUUUGGCUAACCAUUUCCUUAGCUGUCACUAUUUUUACUCAAUGUCACGCCCGUCAUUUUCGACUACUAAGCCCCCACACAACGGAUCUACGCUUCGUAUGGAAUACUUUUAAGAAAAUGUUCAUGUUUGGAGACAGAGUGGACUAAAUAUAGAAUCGAGGAAUUUUUCUGACGAAAGCCAAAUGUAAGAAACGUUCAUAUGUGUGACAUCGGUUGGAUUAUCGUCGAAGGUUGCUUUCAAGGCUAGGGACUGCUCGUACUAAUUUAUUCAGAGAUAUUCAUGUGAUGAUGCUUAGUUUUCGUGACCAGUUGAACUGGCUAAUUACAAUAUUUCCUCUCGUUAUACAAAAUGUUUUAUCAUUAUAAUAUAUAAGUAUUUAAAUGCUUUGUUAAAUUUUAUAAAUCUUGAACAAAAAUAUAAUAACAGUCGCUCAUAUCAGGGGAUUGAUAAAUUGUUAUUGAUAAGAAAUCAAAAAGUUGGGCAAUCGUCUAUUCAAAAUGUCGAAAAGUCUCUCCCAUUGGAUCGAUUCUAAAGCGCGGGAAGGAGAGAGAUAGAGAUAGUGGACUGAAAGUAAGUACAAGCUUUGACUGUGUCUCCGUGGGAUCGUGGCGGGAUUACCGAAGGGUUAAAGGGGUUAAGCAGCCAAGACCUUUCGAAUUCGAGGGGCCCGAUAGUACCCAGCCAUGGAUAGAUCUCUCCCUUUCUUUGCAACUGAACUCCGAAGACUUGGUGGGAAACAUUGAGAUUUAAUAUCUGGAGGAGGACGUGGCCAGUAGCAGAGAAAGGAAGUUUAUCGUAGAAAACGUCUCGAAAGUAGCUGAACACGCCAUUCGUCUUGUAACUAAGCGCAUCGUGUCGUGUAUACAUCAAACAAUUUCAGAUUCCUUGUCUUUCGCACUCGAUAAUCUUCAUUCUCAAAUCUAAAUCUAUAUUUUAUUGAACAUUCAAAGAAACCGAAGAUUAUAUAAUUAAUUAUAAUAAUGGGAUAUUUUUAAGUUUUUUAAAUUGAUAAUUUUAGAUAUUUUAAAUUGAUACUGUAGAUUAACCCAUAACUGGUAUUGCUGGUUCUAUGAAAUCCUAGGUAUUUUUACUUUUGCGGUAUUUCGUGAUUGCUAGCGAACAUUUUUGUCUACGUGAUAAAAUGGCCACCAUUCAGUUAAAAGUGACCCACGUUUGAAAUUUCAAAUGGCUGUAUUCCUUUGAGGAAUUUCCAAAGUAAGAUAAAACAUGUGAUAAUCUUGAAACAACAAAAUGCGCCUUUUGCCUCUGUUUCGGAAUUCGAAAGAGAAACACAGCUGGAAUCAGGAAUUUCCUUGAAGUUUGAUUUUCAUGUUUGGCCUCACCGACCUGGCUGCUAACCGACAAAAAUUGCAGCGUACUCACGAAGGACGGUCGAGGAAGUGGAGAAGGUAUAUAGUAAUGGCAGAGCAACGCUAACGGUGAAGAGAGAGAACGAACGAACGAGCAUACACGAUAGGAGAGGAUGGGAUGCAUUCACGGAUAGGAAAAGGGGGGCAGGGUCCAAGGAGGAAGGGAGGAAACCGCGCGAAGGGGAAAACGACUCAACUCGGAACUCGUGUCGUAGCGGUACUCGUUUUCUCCUCGGCACCGCGUAUCUCGUUGCCACGAAAUUGAAUAACCGCGAUAUACCGUGGCCAGCGCACAAAGUUACACUUGUUCAAGCUCGAAUUUCUCGACCUCGAAUUCAACGUGAUUGCAAAGGAACG